GAUGAACGCUGGCGGCGUGCUUAACACAUGCAAGUCGAGCGGAAAGGCCAUGCUAUUGUUGCUUUCUCGAGCGGGGAACGGGUGAGUAACACAGGAGUAACCAGCCCAUCUCUUUCGGAUAACUUCAGGGAACUGCGGAUAUUACCGGAUAGGAGCUUCUGCUCCGAGGCGCGCGUUAGAAAGUGACGGCGGUUGCGGCGGUAUGAGAUGGACAUGCGCUCCAUUAGCUGGUUGGUGCGGUAAUGGCUGACCAAGGGUACGACGGGUAGGCGGCCUGAGAGGGUGACCGGCCACCUUGCGACUGAGCUACGGCCCAGACUCGUACGGGAGGCAGCAGUGGGGAAUAUUGCACAAUGGGGCGAAGCCUGAUGCAGCAACGCGGCGUGCGGGAUGAUGGCCUUCGGGUUGUAAACCGAUUUCGCCUGUGCCGAAGCGUGCUUGACGGUACUGGGUAAAGAAGCACCGGCUAACUACGUG
This 477-nucleotide ribosomal RNA is filed under the name uncultured bacterium. RNAcentral describes it as "partial 16S ribosomal RNA". It matches the Rfam family "Bacterial small subunit ribosomal RNA", at positions 28 to 507 of the family's 1533-position model. The record is from RNAcentral.